CUUAACCAAAUUAACUUAGCAGACAGAACUACCAUCUCUAACUUCUAUCUGCAUUUCCAAUUUCCAGGCUAUUUUUCCUUGACUAACAUGUAUGACCAAAAUUUACCUUAGAGCUAAGCAACCAAGUUGCUUGAAGUAUCUAAGCAUUGCUAAGCAUAUGAUAGUUACUAAUUAGUGAACAAGUGGCAAAGAUGUCCUCUAAACAAGGUAGGAUCAUGCAUAAGAGAAGGUUUCAAUCA
Molecule: long non-coding RNA, 239 nt
Filed under: Setaria viridis
Lineage: Eukaryota; Viridiplantae; Streptophyta; Magnoliopsida; Poales; Poaceae
Description: long non-coding RNA (SVIR_LNC000311)
Source: RNAcentral